AUUGAACGCUGGCGGCAGGCCUAACACAUGCAAGUCGAGCGGAUGAAGGGAGCUUGCUCCUGGAUUCAGCGGCGGACGGGUGAGUAAUGCCUAGGAAUCUGCCUGGUAGUGGGGGAUAACGUCCGGAAACGGGCGCUAAUACCGCAUACGUCCUGAGGGAGAAAGUGGGGGAUAUUCGGACCUCACGCUAUCAGAUGAGCCUAGGUCGGAUUAGCUAGUUGGUGGGGUAAAGGCCUACCAAGGCGACGAUCCGUAACUGGUCUGAGAGGAUGAUCAGUCACACUGGAACUGAGACACGGUCCAGACUCCUACGGGAGGCAGCAGUGGGGAAUAUUGGACAAUGGGCGAAUGCCUGAUCCAGCCAUGCCGCGUGUGUGAAGAAGGUCUUCGGAUUGUAAAGCACUUUAAGUUGGGAGGAAGGGCAGUAAGUUAAUACCUUGCUGUUUUGACGUUACCAACAGAAUAAGCACCGGCUAACUUCGUG
This 484-nucleotide ribosomal RNA is filed under the name uncultured bacterium. Its description in RNAcentral is "partial 16S ribosomal RNA". It matches the Rfam family "Bacterial small subunit ribosomal RNA", at positions 30 to 507 of the family's 1533-position model. The record is from RNAcentral.